GGCUCGCCCAGCUUCAGAAUGGAUGGUGAAGACCGUGGAUUCUUUUCCUCUGAGGUGGAGCUGAGUCACAAAGACUCAAGCCAGCGGUGUUAGUAUUUCUUCGAGCAUUACUGUCACUUGAACCUUGACUUCCAUUCCAAAACCUGUAGUAGAAAUGAAACUGUGCUUAUCCCCAGAUUCUGACAGUGAUGGCAUGAACUAUAUAGCUAAGGAAAAGCUCCUGAUCCACCUGUGUCGAUGUUCAGGACUUAUUUUAAGACUAAAGCUCAAGUUUGCAAGGACACUGGGGUAGCCGUCCAACCUGAUCACAAAU
Zalophus californianus (California sea lion) is the source of this 313-nucleotide long non-coding RNA. RefSeq lists it as uncharacterized. The record is from RefSeq and is a predicted model, not a curated record. The transcript has 3 exons. Lineage: Eukaryota; Metazoa; Chordata; Mammalia; Carnivora; Otariidae.